AUUCCUACGGGACGCAGCAGUGGGGAAUAUUGCACAAUGGGCGCAAGCCUGAUGCAGCGGCGCCUCGGCGCGUAAAGCCCUGUCAGCAGGGAAGAAAAUGACGGUACCUGAAGAAGAAGCCCCGGCUAACUACGUGCCAGCAGCCGCGGUAAUACGUAGGGGGCAAGCGUUAUCCGGAUUUACUGGGUGUAAAGGGGGCGCAGACGGCGAUGCAAGCCAGGAGUGAAAGCCCGGGGCUCAACCCCGGGACUGCUCUUGGAACUGCGUGGCUAGAGUGCAGGAGGGGCAGGCG
Molecule: ribosomal RNA, 292 nt
Filed under: uncultured bacterium
Lineage: Bacteria
Description: partial 16S ribosomal RNA
Rfam family: Bacterial small subunit ribosomal RNA
Source: RNAcentral